Molecule: ribosomal RNA, 460 nt
Filed under: uncultured bacterium
Lineage: Bacteria
Description: partial 16S ribosomal RNA
Rfam family: Bacterial small subunit ribosomal RNA
Source: RNAcentral
CCUACGGGGGGCAGCAGUGAGGAAUAUUGGUCAAUGGGCGCGAGCCUGAACCAGCCAAGUAGCGUGAAGGAUGACUGCCCUACGGGUUGUAAACUUCUUUUAUGAAGGAAUAAAGUGAGACACGUAUGCCUUUUUGUAUGUACUUUAUGAAUAAGGGUCGGCUAACCCCGUGCCAGCAGACGCGGUAAUACGGAGGAUCCGAGCGUUAUCCGGAUUUAUUGGGUUUAACGGGAGCGUAGAUGGGUUGUUAAGUCAGUUGUGAAAGUUUGCGGCUCAACCGUAAAAUUGCAAUUGAUACUGGCAGCCUUGAGUACAGUUGAGGGAGGCGGAAUUCGUGGUGUAGCGGUGAAAUGCUUAGAUAUCACGAAGAACUCCGAUUGCGAAGGCAGCUUACUAAACUGCCACUGACAUUGAUGCGCGAAAGUGUGGGUAUCAAACAGGAUUAGAUACCCCUGUAGUC